ACACGCAUGAAAGUCAAGCUGAAAGACUUUACUCAAUGAUGUAAGUGGUGGUGCAUGGUCGUUCUUAGUUCGUGGAUUGAUUUGUCUGGUCGAUUCCGAUAACGAGCGAGACCCCGGUGUUCCUAAUAGGAGCCGAAGCCCGUUCACUGUAACAGGUGGACAGCUAAGGCUUAAGAUGUACUUCUUAGACACAUCAUGGCUGAUAAAGUCAUUGAAAUGGGUUAAUAACAGGUCAGUAAUGCCCUUAGAUGUUCUGGGCCGCACGCGCGUUACAAUGGCAUGUAUAACAAGUGCUUUUUAAGGCGUUUCCUGGACCUAACGGUUCAGGUAACCCUUAAUCCAUUGCUUUGACUGGGAUAGAUCAUUGCAAUUAUUGGUCUCUAACGAGGAAUUUUUAGUAAGCAUAGGUCAUUAACCUAUGCUUA
RNAcentral lists this ribosomal RNA (425 nucleotides) under Nannengaella sulphurea. RNAcentral's name for it is "SSU rRNA". It matches the Rfam family "Eukaryotic small subunit ribosomal RNA", at positions 1230 to 1642 of the family's 1831-position model. The record is from RNAcentral. Lineage: Eukaryota; Evosea; Eumycetozoa; Physariida; Physaraceae.